RNAcentral lists this ribosomal RNA (253 nucleotides) under uncultured bacterium. RNAcentral describes it as "partial 16S ribosomal RNA". It matches the Rfam family "Bacterial small subunit ribosomal RNA", at positions 524 to 776 of the family's 1533-position model. The record is from RNAcentral.
GACAGAGGGUGCAAACGUUGUUCGGAAUUACUGGGCGUAAAGCGUGUGUAGGCGGCCAUAUAAGUCGGAUGUGAAAGCCCUGGGCUCAACCCAGGAAGUGCACUCGAUACUGUAUGGCUUGAGUACUGGAGAGGUUGGUGGAAUUCUCGGUGUAGAGGUGAAAUUCGUAGAUAUCGAGAGGAACACCGGUGGCGAAGGCGGCCAACUGGACAGAUACUGACGCUGAGACGCGAAAGCGUGGGGAGCGAACCGG